GUCUGUGGCCAUACCAUCCAGAAGGUGCCCGAUCUCAUCUGACCUCGGACGCUAAGCAGGGUCGGGCCGGGCUAGUACUUGGAUGGGAGGGAAGUGUUGUGAUCUCCUUGGGAGGCAAGUGGUCAUGGACA
Molecule: ribosomal RNA, 131 nt
Organism: Bison bison bison
Lineage: Eukaryota; Metazoa; Chordata; Mammalia; Artiodactyla; Bovidae
Source: Ensembl